This 72-nucleotide transfer RNA is filed under the name Halamphora calidilacuna. RNAcentral describes it as "tRNA-Phe". It matches the Rfam family "tRNA". Rfam says of the family: Transfer RNA (tRNA) molecules are approximately 80 nucleotides in length. Their secondary structure includes four short double-helical elements and three loops (D, anti-codon, and T loops). Further hydrogen bonds mediate the characteristic L-shaped molecular structure. tRNAs have two regions of fundamental functional importance: the anti-codon, which is responsible for specific mRNA codon recognition, and the 3' end, to which the tRNAs corresponding amino acid is attached (by aminoacyl-tRNA synthetases). tRNAs cope with the degeneracy of the genetic code in two manners: having more than one tRNA (with a specific anti-codon) for a particular amino acid; and 'wobble' base-pairing, i.e. permitting non-standard base-pairing at the 3rd anti-codon position. The record is from RNAcentral. Lineage: Eukaryota; Bacillariophyta; Bacillariophyceae; Naviculales; Amphipleuraceae.
GUCUGAAUAGCUCAGUGGUAGAGCAGAGGACUGAAAAUCCUUGAGUCGGGAGUUCGAAUCUGCCUUUAGACA